This 195-nucleotide ribosomal RNA is filed under the name uncultured eukaryote. RNAcentral describes it as "partial 18S ribosomal RNA". It matches the Rfam family "Eukaryotic small subunit ribosomal RNA", at positions 1208 to 1402 of the family's 1831-position model. The record is from RNAcentral.
GGAAAUCUCACCAGGCCCGGACAAUGGAAGGAUUGACAGAUUGAUACCUCUUUCUUGAUUCUGUGGGUGGUGGUGCAUGGCCAUUCUUAGUUGGUGGAGUGAUUUGUGGCUUAAUUUGACUCAACGCGGGAAAUCUCACCAGGCCCGGACACUGGAAGGAUUGACAGAUUGAUAGCUCUUUCUUGUUAGCAAUAA